GAUGAACGCUGGCGGCGUGCUUAACACAUGCAAGUCGAACGGAGUUUACAUGUGAGCGGAGGGUGCUUGCACUUAACAAUCUUUUGUAAACUUAGUGGCGGACGGGUGAGUAACGCGUGGGUAACCUGCCGUAUGCAGGGGGACAACAGUUGGAAACGACUGCUAAUACCGCAUAAGCGCACAGUACUGCAUGGUACGGUGUGAAAGGAUUUAUCGGCAUACGAUGGACCCGCGUCUGAUUAGCUAGUUGGUGAGGUAACGGCUCACCAAGGCGACGAUCAGUAGCCGGCCUGAGAGGGUGGACGGCCACAUUGGGACUGAGACACCGGCCCAA
RNAcentral lists this ribosomal RNA (334 nucleotides) under uncultured bacterium. RNAcentral describes it as "bacterial SSU rRNA". It matches the Rfam family "Bacterial small subunit ribosomal RNA", at positions 28 to 334 of the family's 1533-position model. The record is from RNAcentral.